Molecule: ribosomal RNA, 391 nt
Filed under: uncultured bacterium
Lineage: Bacteria
Description: bacterial SSU rRNA
Rfam family: Bacterial small subunit ribosomal RNA
Source: RNAcentral
GACGAACGCUGGCGGCGUGCUUAACACAUGCAAGUCGAGCGGUAAGGCCCUUUCGGGGGUACACGAGCGGCGAACGGGUGAGUAACACGUGGGUGACCUGCCCUCAGCUCUGGGAUAAGCCUGGGAAACCGGGUCUAAUACUGGAUAUGACUCCAUGACGCAUGUUGUGGGGUGGAAAGCCUUGUGCGGCUGAGGAUGGGCCCGCGGCCUAUCAGCUUGUUGGUGGGGNGAUGGCCUACCAAGGCGACGACGGGUAGCCGGCCUGAGAGGACGACCAGCCACACUGGGACUGAGACACGGCCCAGACUCCUACGGGAGGCAGCAGUGGGGAAUAUUGGACAAUGGGGGCAACCCUGAUCCAGCAAUGCCGCGUGUGUGAAGAAGGCCUCGG